This 468-nucleotide ribosomal RNA is filed under the name uncultured bacterium. RNAcentral's name for it is "partial 16S ribosomal RNA". It matches the Rfam family "Bacterial small subunit ribosomal RNA", at positions 28 to 507 of the family's 1533-position model. The record is from RNAcentral.
GACGAACGCUGGCGGCGUGCUUAACACAUGCAAGUCGAACGGAAAGGCCCUGCUUUUGUGGGGUGCUCGAGUGGCGAACGGGUGAGCAACACGUGAGUAACCUGCCCUUGACUUUGGGAUAACUUCAGGAAACUGGGGCUAAUACCGGAUAGGAGCUCCUGCUGCAUGGUGGGGGUUGGAAAGUUUCGGCGGUUGGGGAUGGACUCGCGGCUUAGCAGCUUGUUGGUGGGGUAGUGGCUUACCAAGGCUUUGACGGGUAGCCGGCCUGAGAGGGUGACCGGCCACAUUGGGACUGAGAUACGGCCCAGAGUCCUACGGGAGGCAGCAGUGGGGAAUAUUGCACAAUGGGCGGAAGCCUGAUGCAGCAACGCCGCGUGCGGGAUGACGGCCUUAGGGUUGUAAACCGCUUUCGCCUGUGACGAAGCGUGAGUGACGGUAAUGGGUAAAGAAGCACCGGCUAACUACGUG